Molecule: ribosomal RNA, 497 nt
Filed under: uncultured bacterium
Lineage: Bacteria
Description: partial 16S ribosomal RNA
Rfam family: Bacterial small subunit ribosomal RNA
Source: RNAcentral
GAUGAACGCUGGCGGCGUGCCUAAUACAUGCAAGUCGAGCGAACGGACGAGAAGCUUGCUUCUCUGAUGUUAGCGGCGGACGGGUGAGUAACACGUGGAUAACCUACCUAUAAGACUGGGAUAACUUCGGGAAACCGGAGCUAAUACCGGAUGAUAUUUUGAACCGCAUGGUUCAAAAGUGAAAGACGGUCUUGCUGUCACUUAUAGAUGGAUCCGCGCUGCAUUAGCUAGUUGGUAAGGUAACGGCUUACCAAGGCAACGAUGCAUAGCCGACCUGAGAGGGUGAUCGGCCACACUGGAACUGAGACACGGUCCAGACUCCUACGGGAGGCAGCAGUAGAGAAUCUUCCGCAAUGGGCGAAAGCCUGACGGAGCAACGCCGCGUGAGUGAUGAAGGUCUUCGGAUCGUAAAACUCUGUUAUUAGGGAAGAACAUAUGUGUAAGUAACUGUGCACAUCUUGACGGUACCUAAUCAGAAAGCCACGGCUAACUACGUG